This 254-nucleotide ribosomal RNA is filed under the name uncultured bacterium. RNAcentral describes it as "partial 16S ribosomal RNA". It matches the Rfam family "Bacterial small subunit ribosomal RNA", at positions 335 to 607 of the family's 1533-position model. The record is from RNAcentral.
CACCUACGGGACGCAGCAGUGGGGAAUAUUGAACAAUGGGGGAAACCCUGAUGCAGCAACGCCGCGUGAGUGAAGAAGUAUUUCGGUAUGUAAAGCUCUAUCAGCAGGGAAGAAGAUGACGGUACCUGAGUAAGAAGCCCCGGCUAACUACGUGCCAGCAGCCGCGGUAAUACGUAGGGGGCAAGCGUUAUCCGGAUUUACUGGGUGUAAAGGGAGCGUAGACGGUGAGACAAGUCUGAAGUGAAAGCUAGGGG